Molecule: ribosomal RNA, 1029 nt
Filed under: human gut metagenome
Description: bacterial LSU rRNA
Rfam family: Bacterial large subunit ribosomal RNA
Source: RNAcentral
CGAAGCGGUGAAUUCAAGCCCCGGUAAACGGCGGUGGUAACUAUAACCAUCCUAAGGUAGCGAAAUUCCUUGUCGGGUAAGUUCCGACCUGCACGAAUGGCGUAACGACUUCCCCACUGUCUCGACCAGGAGCUCGGCGAAAUUGCAGUACGAGUAAAGAUGCUCGUUAAGCGCAGAAGGACGAAAAGACCCCGGGACCUUUACUAUACCUUGGUAUUGGCAUUCGGUGUGGAUUGUGUAGCAUAGGCGGAAGGCUUCGAAGCCACGGCGCCAGCCGCGGUGGAGCCGCAAGGUGAAAUACCGCUCUGUUCGCAUUGGAUGUCUAACCUCGACCAGUCAUCCUGGUCAGGGACAGUGCCUGGCGGGUAGUUUAACUGGGGCGGUUGCCUCCCAAAGAGUAACGGAGGCGCUCAAAGGUUCCCUCAGCCCGGUUGGCAAUCGGGUGGCGAGUGUAAGUGCACAAGGGAGCUUGACUGCGAGACUGACGGGUCGAGCAGGGACGAAAGUCGGAACUAGUGAUCCGGUGCCGGUGUACGGACGCGGCAUCGCUCAACGGAUAAAAGGUACCCCGGGGAUAACAGGCUGAUCAUUCCCAAGAGUCCAUAUCGACGGGAUGGUUUGGCACCUCGAUGUCGGCUCGUCGCAUCCUGGGGCUGGAGCAGGUCCCAAGGGUUCGGCUGUUCGCCGAUUAAAGCGGCACGCGAGCUGGGUUCAGAACGUCGUGAGACAGUUUGGUCUCUAUCCUCUGCGCUCGUCGGAAUGUUGAGGAGGCCUGCCCAUAGUACGAGAGGACCUGGGUGGACGAACCUCUGGUAUGCCGGUUGUCACGCCAGUGGCACGGCCGGUUGGCUACGUUCGGAAGGGAUAACCGCUGAAAGCAUCUAAGCGGGAAGCCUGCUCCAAGAUAAGCAUUCCAUAGGACUACGGGUCCUUGAAGUCCCCAUGCAGAACACGUGGUUGAUAGGCCGGACGUGGAAGCCCCGCGAGGGGUGGAGCCGACCGGUACUAACGGACGAAAGGCAACACAAC